Molecule: ribosomal RNA, 253 nt
Filed under: uncultured bacterium
Lineage: Bacteria
Description: partial 16S ribosomal RNA
Rfam family: Bacterial small subunit ribosomal RNA
Source: RNAcentral
UACGUAGGCAGCGAGCGUUGUUCGGAGUUACUGGGCGUAAAGGGUGUGUAGGCGGUUGCUUAAGUUUGGUGUGAAAUCUCCCGGCUCAACCGGGAGGGUGCGCCGAAUACUGAGUGACUCGAGUGCGGGAGAGGAGAGUGGAAUUCCUGGUGUAGCGGUGAAAUGCGUAGAUAUCAGGAGGAACACCUGCGGUGUAGACGGCUUGCUGGACCAUGACUGACGCUGAGGCACGAAAGCGUGGGGAGCAAACAGG